GACGUGAUAGCCUAAUAGCUUAAUAACGGUGGUAGAUUGUAAAUCUAAGGAUAGAGGUUAAACUCCUCUUCAUGUCA
This 77-nucleotide transfer RNA is filed under the name Diaphus theta (California headlightfish). Its description in RNAcentral is "tRNA-Tyr". It matches the Rfam family "tRNA". Rfam says of the family: Transfer RNA (tRNA) molecules are approximately 80 nucleotides in length. Their secondary structure includes four short double-helical elements and three loops (D, anti-codon, and T loops). The record is from RNAcentral. Lineage: Eukaryota; Metazoa; Chordata; Actinopteri; Myctophiformes; Myctophidae.